RNAcentral lists this ribosomal RNA (468 nucleotides) under uncultured bacterium. RNAcentral describes it as "partial 16S ribosomal RNA". It matches the Rfam family "Bacterial small subunit ribosomal RNA", at positions 28 to 507 of the family's 1533-position model. The record is from RNAcentral.
GACGAACGCUGGCGGCGUGCUUAACACAUGCAAGUCGAACGGAAAGGCCCUGCUUUUGUGGGGUGCUCGAGUGGCGAACGGGUGAGUAACACGUGAGUAACCUGCCCUUGACUUUGGGAUAACUUCAGGAAACUGGGGCUAAUACCGGAUAGGAGCUCCUGCUGCAUGGGGGGGGUUGGAAAGUUUCGGCGGUUGGGGAUGGACUCGCGGCUUAUCAGCUUGUUUGUGGGGUAGUGGCUUACCAAGGCUUUGACGGGUAGCCGGUCUGAGAGGGUGACCGGCCAUAUUGGGACUGAGACAGCGCCCAGACUUCUACGGGAGGGAGGAGUGGGGAAUAGUGCACUAUGGGCGGAAGCCAUAUGCAGACACGCCGCGUGCGGGAUGACGGCCUUCGGGUUGUACCCCGCUUUCGCCUGCGACGAAGCGUGAGUGACGGUAAUGGGUAAAGAAGCACCGGCUAACUACGUG